This 1319-nucleotide long non-coding RNA is filed under the name Homo sapiens (human). Its description in RNAcentral is "HSALNT0290976". The record is from RNAcentral. Lineage: Eukaryota; Metazoa; Chordata; Mammalia; Primates; Hominidae.
UGUCCUCUGAAGGGGCGGCGCAUGGGCGUCCCCCGCCCUGCUAGCCCCAUCUCCUUCCCUGUCCCUGCUUGGGCAGGAGGCCCAAGCCCUGACAACAGAGGUGAGAGAGGCUGUGCCAGCCCUUCUCUGGGCAUGUCUGGGCUCAAGGGCCAGGCUCUGUCUCCAGUCUAGGGCCAAGCUGGGGCCUGUGGCAGGAUCAGAUAGAGGCAAAACAUUGAUGAGGCAGGGGGACGGACAAAAUGGGCCUUCCAGAGGUGCUCUCAGACCCUCCCAGCCACACUACAGCCGCAGAGCCCUCCGCUCACAAACCAUCCUGGCCUCAUCAGAACCUGGGGAGGGUUCCUAGUUGUGCAGGAUGCAGAAACUGAGGCUCAGAAGCGUUCGGCCACGUGCAUGCAUUGCCUUUCCCAUUGGUGCUCCAUCGCCAGUAAUGGAUAAGUAAUAAGUAAUAAGGUGCAUUGGAAAUUCAAAUUUCAGAAUAAGCUGACUGCCAAGAGGGCCCUCCCCCUGUCGGGAGUCCCUUAGUCCAUGGGAAAUUCACAGAGAAGGAAACAGUCACUUUUCCUGCACCUGAGAAGGUGAUUCUGACUCUCCUGGAACCUGAGAACCACCAGUCUACGGGAACAGAGCCCUGCUUUGGGUCAGGUGUGUAUAACUAUGGUAUUCCCUUUCUUCUCUGCCUCUAUUGUUGAUGUUGUUUUUUUGUUUUUUGUUUUUUUUUGAAACGGAGUCUCGCUGUUGCCCAGGCUGGAGUGCAGUGGCGCAAUCUCGGCUCACUACAAUCUCCGCCUCUGGGGUUCACGCCAUUCUCCUGCCUCAGCCUCCCGAGUAGCUGGUAAGGGAGGAGACCACCCCUCACAUUGUCUUAUGCCCAAUUUCUGCCUCCAAAGAAAGAAGUAAAAACUAAAAGGCAGAAAUGAAAUCCACAGGCAGACAGCCCGGCGCUGCACCCUGGGCCUGGUAGUUAAAGAUCGACCCCUGACCUAAUCAGUUAUGUUGUCUAUAGAUUACAGACAUUGUAUAGAAAUGCACUGUGAAAAUCCCUAUCUGUUUUGUUCCGAUCUAGUUACCAGUGCAUGCAGACCCCAGUCACGUACCCCUUGCUUGCUCAAUCAAUCCCGACCCCCUCACACGCACCCUCCUUAGAGUUGUGAGCCCUUAAAAGGGAUAGGAAUUGCUCACUCGGGGAGCUCGGCUCUCGAGACAGGAGUCUUGCCGAUGCCCCCAGCCGAUUAAACCCCUUCCUUCAACUCGGUGUCUGAGGAGUUUUGUCUGCAGCUCGUCCUGCUACACUGGGACUACAGGCGCUCGCCACCACG